AGUGAACGCUGGCGGUAGGCCUAACACAUGCAAGUCGAACGGCAGCACAGUAAGAGCUUGCUCUUACGGGUGGCGAGUGGCGGACGGGUGAGGAAUACAUCGGAAUCUACUUUUUCGUGGGGGAUAACGUAGGGAAACUUACGCUAAUACCGCAUACGACCUACGGGUGAAAGCAGGGGAUCUUCGGACCUUGCGCGAUUGAAUGAGCCGAUGUCGGAUUAGCUAGUUGGCGGGGUAAAGGCCCACCAAGGCGACGAUCCGUAGCUGGUCUGAGAGGAUGAUCAGCCACACUGGAACUGAGACACGGUCCAGACUCCUACGGGAGGCAGCAGUGGGGAAUAUUGGACAAAGGGCGCAAGCCUGAUCCAGCCAUACCGCGUGGGUGAAGAAGGCCUUCGGGUUGUAAAGCCCUUUUGUUGGGAAAGAAAAGCAGCAGGUUAAUACCGCGCUGUUCUGACGGUACCCAAAGAAUAAGCACCGGCUAACUUCGUG
Molecule: ribosomal RNA, 492 nt
Filed under: uncultured bacterium
Lineage: Bacteria
Description: partial 16S ribosomal RNA
Rfam family: Bacterial small subunit ribosomal RNA
Source: RNAcentral